CUAUUCCCAAAAAUGCCACCUUAAUAUUUGAUAUAGAACUGUUAAAAAUGGAGUGAAGACAAAACAAAACAAGAUGUGAUGACGGCUGCUGGCUACAGCAAGCAAAGAGUUGUUCAAACGGAUGGUUCUUCUCAUUGAUGUUUUAGAUAUAGAUGUCUCUAACUCUUGCCCUGAUCCCGCUACUAAAUUUUAUCAUCAUUACCCCCUAAUUUAGUUUCACUUUAUUGACCCAACCAUACAAAAAAACUUUUUUUUCUUUUUUCCCAGUUCACACCAAAGAUUUCAAUUCCUCCACUUGUACCCUACCCCCUUUUUUUUCAUUUCUGUUUAAGCUAAGCUACCCACCACUGUGUUGUUGUUUUUUUGUUUUUUUUUAGUUCAGCUUAUUUUUUUUUUUUUUUUUUUUA
This is a non-coding RNA of Biomphalaria pfeifferi, 407 nucleotides long. The record is from the annotation of a GenBank genome assembly. Lineage: Eukaryota; Metazoa; Mollusca; Gastropoda; Planorbidae.